CAGCCCCUCGAGUGGUGGGGAUGAUUAUUUGGCCUAAAGCGUCCGUAGCCGGCCGAGUAAGUCCCCCGUUAAAUCCAGCGUCUCAAGCGUUGGACUGCGGGAGAUACUACUUGGCUAGAGAGUGGGAGAGGUCAGCGGUAUUCUGGGGGUAGGGGCGAAAUCCUUUGAUCCCCGGAGGACCACCAGUGGCGAAGGCUGCUGACUAGAACACGUCUGACGGUCAGGGACGAAAGCUGGGGUAGCAAACCGGAUUAGAUACCCGCGUAGUCC
This 270-nucleotide ribosomal RNA is filed under the name uncultured archaeon. RNAcentral describes it as "partial 16S ribosomal RNA". It matches the Rfam family "Archaeal small subunit ribosomal RNA", at positions 477 to 747 of the family's 1478-position model. The record is from RNAcentral.